RNAcentral lists this ribosomal RNA (230 nucleotides) under uncultured bacterium. RNAcentral describes it as "partial 16S ribosomal RNA". It matches the Rfam family "Bacterial small subunit ribosomal RNA", at positions 334 to 581 of the family's 1533-position model. The record is from RNAcentral.
UACUCCUACGGGACGCAGCAGUGGGGAAUAUUGCACAAUGGGGGAAACCCUGAUGCAGCGACGCCGCGUGAGCGAUGAAGUAUUUCGGUAUGUAAAGCUCUAUCAGCAGGGAAGAAAAUGACGGUACCUGACUAAGAAGCCCCGGCUAACUACGUGCCAGCAGCCGCGGUAAUACGUAGGGGGCAAGCGUUAUCCGGAUUUACUGGGUGUAAAGGGAGCGUAGACGGCUG